RNAcentral lists this ribosomal RNA (279 nucleotides) under uncultured bacterium. Its description in RNAcentral is "partial 16S ribosomal RNA". It matches the Rfam family "Bacterial small subunit ribosomal RNA", at positions 506 to 784 of the family's 1533-position model. The record is from RNAcentral.
UGCCAGCCGCCGCGGUAAUACGAAGGGUGCAAGCGUUAAUCGGAAUUACUGGGCGUAAAGCGUGCGCAGGCGGCCUGCUAAGUCGGAUGUGAAAGCCCCGGGCUUAACCUGGGAAUUGCAUUCGAUACUGGCAGGCUAGAGUCUGGUAGAGGUAAGCGGAAUUCCGGGUGUAGCGGUGAAAUGCGUAGAUAUCCGGAGGAACAUCAGUGGCGAAGGCGGCUUACUGGACCAAGACUGACGCUCAGGCACGAAAGCGUGGGUAGCAAACAGGAUUAGAUA